Long non-coding RNA from Cyprinus carpio carpio, 1124 nucleotides. The record is from Ensembl. Lineage: Eukaryota; Metazoa; Chordata; Actinopteri; Cypriniformes; Cyprinidae.
UUGUAAAAACACUUAAAGUGCUUUAAUAUAUUUAAAACAGUAGGAUCAAAUUCAGUAAUCACUAUAUUAAUUAUGCAUAGUUUACAUAGGCAAUCAGUUGAGGUUAUUGCUGUCUGUAUAAUAAUCAAUAUGUUAUCAGCCAUAAAGUGUCCCAAUAUCAGUAAAAAAUACUGUCUGAUUGAACUCAUAUAUGUGAGUCAGUGUUGCAAGUCAGUUUUAUUUUUUAUAUAUUACAAUGUAUUUGAGACUGUACACAGCAAUGCAAUACUUUUAACAAUAACCCAUGAGCACUGACUACUACUACAACUACUACUACAACAACUACUAAUAAUACAGUUGAGUUCGAACAAUAUUUUAUGUACAGUAGUGUACUGGUAUACUGUAAACAGAAACAUGAUUCUAGGCAUGAAUCAAAUGUACGGUGGUUCCUCCUCGUAGUCCAUAGCAGCUCACUGUCUUGUUCACAUCCAGACAGUUUCCUGAAAAUAAAUAAGGUUAGCAAUUAAUGAUUUGCAGGCCAGCUCAUGGAACUACAUAAAAGUUGUUAGUUGUUGCUUUUGUGGUUCACAUUUCCAUGUCAAUACAUUUCAUGACUCAUUACAAAUGACAUGGUGUGCAUCAGGUCAACAUCAAGCAAUGAAUGAAUGAAUGCUUUGUUUACCUUCAUAAACCAGUGCCAUUUUCUCUGGUUUCUUCCCUGCCCGGUCACAGGCCUCCUUUAGUAAAACUGAGAUGCUUUCCCUGGGAAACAUGUCCACUUCCGUGGUUUUCCCAGCACAUUUCACAAUGAUGUUGAUCUUGUCCACUUCAGCAGUUUCAUCAGCAUCACUGAAUGAGUUUGAGUACUGAAGCGGGAUGUGUGGAUGAUCUAAAAUAACAGAGCAAAACAAUGAUUAAAUAACGUUGAUUUUCUUGAUUGAGAAUUGAUUUUAUAGGGUUAGAGUUAUAAAGUAGAUGUUUCAUACCAUAAUGACCUGAAUGUGCAUUUACAGUGGUUUGUACAGGACUGCUAACCUCCUGGACCUCAGACACCCAUGUUUCAGCAGGUUUUGUGACUGGGAUGUCACCUGAAAAGAGCAAGUUGUUUUAUCACAUUACCAAAGUAAUAUUCAUAUGAAUGAAAA